AUUGAACGCUGGCGGCACGCUUAACACAUGCAAGUCGAGCGGUAACAUGACUAGUAGCAAUACUAGUUGAUGACGAGCGGCGGACGGGUGAGUAACACGUAGGAACUUGCCCAGUAGUGGGGGACAACCAAGGGAAACUUUGGCUAAUACCGCAUAUUCUCGAGAGAGGAAAGCUGCCGCAAGGUGGCGCUAUUGGAGAGGCCUGCGUCCGAUUAGCUAGUUGGUAGGGUAAAAGCCUACCAAGGCGAGGAUCGGUAACUGGUCUGAGCGGACGACCAGUCACACUGGGACUGGGACACGGCCCAGAAUCCUACGGGGGGCAGCAGUGGGGAAUCUUGGACAAUGGGGGCAACCCUGAUCCAGCGAUGCCGCGUGAGUGAAGAAGGCCUUCGGGUCGUAAAGCUCUUUAGGCUGGGAAGAAGGUUGGUAGUUUAAGAGAUAAUCAAGUUGACUGUACCAGCAGAAUAAGCACCGGCAAACUCUGUGCCAGCAGCCGCAGUAA
RNAcentral lists this ribosomal RNA (502 nucleotides) under uncultured bacterium. RNAcentral describes it as "partial 16S ribosomal RNA". It matches the Rfam family "Bacterial small subunit ribosomal RNA", at positions 30 to 523 of the family's 1533-position model. The record is from RNAcentral.